CCUACGGGGGGCAGCAGUGGGGAAUAUUGGACAAUGGGCGAAAGCCUGAUCCUGCCAUGCCGCGUGUGUGAAGAAGGCCUUCGGGUUGUAAAGCACUUUCAGUGGGGAAGAAAGCCUUGGGGCUAAUACCCUCGAGGAAGGACAUCACCCACAGAAGAAGCACCGGCUAACUCCGUGCCAGCAGCCGCGGUAAUACGGAGGGUGCGAGCGUUAAUCGGAAUUACUGGGCGUAAAGCGCGCGUAGGCGGUCUGAUAAGCCGGUUGUGAAAGCCCCGGGCUCAACCUGGGAACGGCAUCCGGAACUGUCAGGCUAGAGUGCAGGAGAGGAAGGUAGAAUUCCCGGUGUAGCGGUGAAAUGCGUAGAGAUCGGGAGGAAUACCAGUGGCGAAGGCGGUCUUCUGGACUGACACUGACGCUGAGGUGCGAAAGCGUGGGUAGCAAACAGGAUUAGAUACCCUGGUAGUC
This 465-nucleotide ribosomal RNA is filed under the name Vreelandella stevensii. RNAcentral describes it as "partial 16S ribosomal RNA". It matches the Rfam family "Bacterial small subunit ribosomal RNA", at positions 338 to 795 of the family's 1533-position model. Lineage: Bacteria; Pseudomonadati; Pseudomonadota; Gammaproteobacteria; Oceanospirillales; Halomonadaceae. The record is from RNAcentral.